RNAcentral lists this ribosomal RNA (831 nucleotides) under Bagnisiella sp. CBS 513.84. RNAcentral describes it as "eukaryotic LSU rRNA". It matches the Rfam family "Eukaryotic large subunit ribosomal RNA", at positions 87 to 936 of the family's 3401-position model. The record is from RNAcentral. Lineage: Eukaryota; Fungi; Ascomycota; Dothideomycetes; Botryosphaeriales; Aplosporellaceae.
CGGCGAGUGAAGCGGCAACAGCUCAAAUUUGAAAUCUGGCCCUUUCAGGGUCCGAGUUGUAAUUUGUAGAGGAUGCUUCGGCGAGGGCUCCCGUCUAAGUUCCCUGGAACGGGACGUCAUAGAGGGUGAGAAUCCCGUAUGUGAUGGGUUGCUCGAGCCAUGUGAAGCUCCUUCGACGAGUCGAGUUGUUUGGGAAUGCAGCUCUAAAUGGGAGGUAAAUUUCUUCUAAAGCUAAAUACCGGCCAGAGACCGAUAGCGCACAAGUAGAGUGAUCGAAAGAUGAAAAGCACUUUGGAAAGAGAGUUAAAAAGUACGUGAAAUUGUUGAAAGGGAAGCGCUUGCAACCAGACUUGUCCGCAGUUGUUCAGCCGGUCUCCUGACCGGCGUACUCUUCUGCGGCCAGGCCAGCAUCAGUUCGGGCGGCUGGAUAAAGGCCUCGGGAAUGUGGCUCUCUUCGGGGAGUGUUAUAGCCCGGGGCGGAAUGCAGCCAGCCUGGACUGAGGAUCUCGCUUCGGCAAGGAUGCUGGCGUAAUGGUUGUAAGCGGCCCGUCUUGAAACACGGACCAAGGAGUCUAACAUCUAUGCGAGUGUUUGGGUGUCAAACCCAUACGCGUAAUGAAAGUGAACGGAGGUGGGAACCCGCAAGGGCGCACCAUCGACCGAUCCUGAUGUCUUCGGAUGGAUUUGAGUAAGAGCAUAGCUGUUGGGACCCGAAAGAUGGUGAACUAUGCCUGAAUAGGGUGAAGCCAGAGGAAACUCUGGUGGAGGCUCGCAGCGGUUCUGACGUGCAAAUCGAUCGUCAAAUUUGGGUAUAGGGGCGAAAGACUAAUC